This 58-nucleotide transfer RNA is filed under the name Salmonella enterica. RNAcentral describes it as "tRNA-Asp". It matches the Rfam family "tRNA", at positions 8 to 62 of the family's 71-position model. From Rfam's summary of the family: Transfer RNA (tRNA) molecules are approximately 80 nucleotides in length. Their secondary structure includes four short double-helical elements and three loops (D, anti-codon, and T loops). Further hydrogen bonds mediate the characteristic L-shaped molecular structure. tRNAs have two regions of fundamental functional importance: the anti-codon, which is responsible for specific mRNA codon recognition, and the 3' end, to which the tRNAs corresponding amino acid is attached (by aminoacyl-tRNA synthetases). tRNAs cope with the degeneracy of the genetic code in two manners: having more than one tRNA (with a specific anti-codon) for a particular amino acid; and 'wobble' base-pairing, i.e. permitting non-standard base-pairing at the 3rd anti-codon position. Lineage: Bacteria; Pseudomonadati; Pseudomonadota; Gammaproteobacteria; Enterobacterales; Enterobacteriaceae. The record is from RNAcentral. RNAcentral also lists the same sequence under 2 other names.
UAGUUCAGUUGGUUAGAAUACCUGCCUGUCACGCAGGGGGUCGCGGGUUCGAGUCCCG